Small nucleolar RNA from Pipistrellus kuhlii (Kuhl's pipistrelle), 137 nucleotides. RefSeq annotates it as small nucleolar RNA SNORA8. The record is from RefSeq and is a predicted model, not a curated record. The transcript has a single exon. NCBI's taxonomy places the organism in Eukaryota, Metazoa, Chordata, Mammalia, Chiroptera, Vespertilionidae.
UACCCUGCAUGGGACAUGCAUUCAGCAGUUCAUUCCUGCUGGGUGUUCAAAGGAAAGUGCGAUAUAAAUUCAGAAUUGGCAUCAUUGGUUUUCUCGGCUUUGAGAAUGUUAAACCUGGUAAUUUCAUUGAUAUAGUA